GACGAACGCUGGCGGCGUGCCUAACACAUGCAAGUCGAACGGAAGUUAGAGCUUCGGUUUUAACUUUAGUGGCGAACGGGUGAGUAACGCGUGAGGAACCUGCCUUUCAGUGGGGGACAACAGUUGGAAACGACUGCUAAUACCGCAUGACACUUUUGGGAGACAUCUCCUGGAAGUCAAAGCUUUAUGUGCUGAAAGAUGGCCUCGCGUCUGAUUAGCUAGUUGGUGAGGUAACGGCUCACCAAGGCGACGAUCAGUAGCCGGUCUGAGAGGAUGAACGGCCACAUUGGGACUGAGAUACGGCCCAGACUCCUACGGGAGGCAGCAGUGGGGAAUAUUGGGCAAUGGGGGAAACCCUGACCCAGCAACGCCGCGUGAAGGAAGAAGGCCUUCGGGUUGUAAACUUCUUUUACCAGGGACGAAGGACGUGACGGUAC
This 437-nucleotide ribosomal RNA is filed under the name uncultured bacterium. RNAcentral describes it as "bacterial SSU rRNA". It matches the Rfam family "Bacterial small subunit ribosomal RNA", at positions 28 to 478 of the family's 1533-position model. The record is from RNAcentral.